CGCCAAGAACCGUGAGGAAAUGUCUCCCCUUGCGGAUCUGGUAAUUUCAUGACAAAGGAG
This 60-nucleotide non-coding RNA is filed under the name unclassified sequences. RNAcentral describes it as "L20-Deltaproteobacteria ribosomal protein leader". It matches the Rfam family "L20-Deltaproteobacteria ribosomal protein leader". The record is from RNAcentral.